AAUUUGCGUUAGGGAUUGAAGCGGAUACAGGCCUGGAGCGUAAUGCCUGCAGGCGUAUGAGCGUAAAGCCCGGCCGCAG
This 79-nucleotide unclassified non-coding RNA is filed under the name Mucilaginibacter sp. NFR10. RNAcentral describes it as "Flavo-1 RNA". The record is from RNAcentral. Lineage: Bacteria; Pseudomonadati; Bacteroidota; Sphingobacteriia; Sphingobacteriales; Sphingobacteriaceae.